GUUCUCCUCCUGGGGGGCUAUAGGUCACGUUCUCCUCCUAGGGGGGCUAUAGGUCACGUUCUCCUCCUAGGGGGGCUAUAGGUCACGUCCUCCUCCUGGGGUGCUAUAGGUCACGUCCUCCUCCUGGGGGGCUAUAGGUCACGUUUCUCCUCCUGGGGGGCUAUAGGUCACGUCCUCCUCCUGGGGGGCUAUAGGUCACGUUUCACCUCCUAGGGGGGCUAUAGGUCACGUUUCUCCUCCUGGGGGGCUAUAGGUCACGUUCCUCCUCCUGGGGGGCUAUAGGUCACGCUCCUCCUGGGGGGCUAUAGGUCACGUUCUCCUCCUAGGGGGGCUAUAGGUCACGUUUCUCCUCCUGGGGGGGCUAUAGGUCACGUUUCUCCUCCCUAGGGGGGCUAUAGGUCACGUUCAUCCUCCUAGGGGGGCUAUAGGUCACGUUCAUCCUCCUAGGGGGGCUAUAGGUCACGUUUCUCCUCCUGGGGGCUAUAGGUCACGUUUCUCCUCCCUAGGGGGGCUAUAGGUCACGUUUCUCCUCCUGGGGGGCUAUAGGUCACGUUUCUCCUCCCUAGGGGCUAUAGGGCAGGAUGACCCUCCCUCCCUAAGGGGGGCUAUAGGCCAGGAUUAGCCACGUUUAGGAGGCAAAGGCCCCCUUGAUCCCGGAUCUCAAACAGAAAAAUGUGUCCUAUUUCCCGCCCUUUG
Molecule: long non-coding RNA, 696 nt
Filed under: Gadus morhua (Atlantic cod)
Lineage: Eukaryota; Metazoa; Chordata; Actinopteri; Gadiformes; Gadidae
Description: lncRNA (ENSGMOG00000035462.1)
Source: RNAcentral